Molecule: unclassified non-coding RNA, 1159 nt
Filed under: Hevea brasiliensis (rubber tree)
Lineage: Eukaryota; Viridiplantae; Streptophyta; Magnoliopsida; Malpighiales; Euphorbiaceae
Source: RNAcentral
CUCUUUUCUUUUUUUUUCAAAUCCUGUAAGGCAUUAUCAUAUCAAUAAUUAGUUCAAUAUUACAUAGGAUGACACAUGCAUUACAAAAUAUUUGUAAAUAAAGCAUUUUCCACAACAAUAUUAUGAAAAUAUAUUUUAAUUGAGUGCCUUCUUAUCUACAAGAUAUAAUUGAGUACCUAAUUGCUCAGAAUACACUUGAAUAUAACCAACAUUUAAAGAGAAACUAUUUAUAGCAUCAUAUCUUUCCACAUACAAAAAAGCCUCAAUGCCGGCUGUCAUCGAUGGGCUAAGAUGACGGACAUUGCAGUGCACCAAAAGACACCUCUGAGACUACCUUGGCUCCCCUUCCCUUGGCCAUGUACAGGCCUAUGUGAUGCAUCAGCUCCUGUGGAUGUGCUAUAACAUCUUUGGCAGCUCUGGCAACAUGAAGUGGCAGGUCAAAGGUUGCACAAGCUUGAGAGAACACAAUCACGUCCUCUAGAGGAGCAAGAAAACCCCUAUUUCUAGCAGAUAGUGCUGAACAAACAAAAUCCAGCACGCAUAUAUCCGUGCAUAUCCCUACUACCAGUAUCUUCAAUAACAGAUAAUAUACUCCACAUUUUAGACAAGGAAGAAGAACCUUUACUUAACAUUUCUUAAUUAACUGCAGUCUCUUGGCAUUUUAACAGAAAAUACUUACAAUUUUAAUCUGAUUAUUCUUUAUCCAAUCUACAAACACAUUGGAGCCAUCUUUCUCAAUGCAACCCAGGAACCCAUCAAUGCAAUCCUUGCACCUUAGGGUGGCAUUAGCUUCAUUCUCCAACCACUGGAGUUCUGGAACAAGUCUUGCCUCAUCAGUUCCAGCAAUACAGUGAGGAGGGUAAGGGUGCUCGGGAAUGUCAGGAUGAUGAGAAUCAAUAAAACCGAAAACUGGCCAUUUAUUGUCACAGAAAGCUCUGGCAAGCCUCACAGACUCCUCAACCAUCGUAGAAAUUUGCUUGUCAGGCUGUUUUGGUGCCAAAUUGCCAGCGCCGACAGUACAGAAACCAUUAACAACAUCGACAAGAACAAGCCCAGUCUUAACAUCGCCGUUGAGAAGCAAAGAAUCUUGUUGGACAGGAAGCUCCUGCUUCAACAAAUCAAUCGAGUUGGACACCAUCUUCUUCUUCUUCUUCUUCUU